GGCCUGUUAGCUCAGUCGGUUAGAGGGUGGUGCUGCUAACACCAAGGUCGUGGGUUCAAUCCCGCUCAGUCCC
Molecule: transfer RNA, 73 nt
Filed under: Apaloderma vittatum (bar-tailed trogon)
Lineage: Eukaryota; Metazoa; Chordata; Aves; Trogoniformes; Trogonidae
Rfam family: tRNA
About the family: Transfer RNA (tRNA) molecules are approximately 80 nucleotides in length.
Source: Rfam by way of RNAcentral